GCGAACGCUGGCGGCAGGCCUAACACAUGCAAGUCGAACGAACCUUUCGGGGUUAGUGGCGGACGGGUGAGUAACACGUGGGAACGUGCCUUUAGGUUCGGAAUAACUCAGGGAAACUUGUGCUAAUACCGAAUGUGCCCUUCGGGGGAAAGAUUUAUCGCCUUUAGAGCGGCCCGCGUCUGAUUAGCUAGUUGGUUGAGGUAAUGGCUCACCAAGGCGACGAUCAGUAGCUGGUCUGAGAGGAUGAUCAGCCACAUUGGGACUGAGACACGGCCCAAACUCCUACGGGAAGCAGCAGUGGGGAAUCUUGCGCAAUGGGCGAAAGCCUGACGCAGCCAUGCCGCGUGAAUGAUGAAGGUCUUAGGAUUGUAAAAUUCUUUCACCGGGGACGAUAAUGACGGUACCCGGAGAAGAAGCCCCGGCUAACUUCGUG
RNAcentral lists this ribosomal RNA (433 nucleotides) under uncultured bacterium. RNAcentral describes it as "partial 16S ribosomal RNA". It matches the Rfam family "Bacterial small subunit ribosomal RNA", at positions 29 to 507 of the family's 1533-position model. The record is from RNAcentral.